Long non-coding RNA from Vigna radiata var. radiata (mung bean), 1793 nucleotides. RefSeq lists it as uncharacterized. The record is from RefSeq and is a predicted model, not a curated record. NCBI's taxonomy places the organism in Eukaryota, Viridiplantae, Streptophyta, Magnoliopsida, Fabales, Fabaceae. The transcript is spliced from 2 exons.
UAUAAGUUUUUAAUAUACUUGAGGUGAGGUGACGUAUUUCCUUUAUUGAAACCCUAAUUUUUCCAUUUUGUUAAUGGAGCUUGUUGUCGAAUUCCCCUCAAAGCUUGCUACCCAGCAAAUUUUGUUGAAUGCCUACUCUGUAACUAUGGAUGAUUCAAAAUCCUAAUACAUUGCAUGAAUGCAAUCCCUUAAUUGAAUCUUUAAUCCCUUUUUGUGAACUCACAAUCCUUCGUGUGAAGUCUCAAUCCCUUCCAUUAACCCUUAAUCCCUUCCGCGAAGCCAAAAUCUCAAGCAAGGUUGAGAGUUUAUGUUAUUAGCUCCAGGUAUUGCGACGGAGAAGUAUUUGGAGGCGUUAAAGUUUCCGAUUUGGGCUCUGGUUGUUCGUGAAGGGGGUUGAAAUUUCUUCCCCAACUGGUUACUUGCCUGGCUGUAGUAGUAGAUUCAAUGUGUUAUUUUAUAAAUAUAUUAUUUCAAUUAGCACAAAAAAUGAAGAUUGCUCUGCAGAUUUUUUAUAAUUUGUAUGUUUGAGUUCCAAAUAGAAGUUAUUUAUGGUAAUGUGUAUGUUGCUCUGAAGUAGAAGCUAGUUGCUGUAAUGUAUUUGAUUUGUGAAGUUUAGUUAGCUGAAAUUGUGAAAUGGUAUUUAUUUUUAUUUUACCUCUUUCCAGUAAGGUUUAUUAUCUGUAUAUGAGGGACUGUUUCUCUUCCAUCUUGUAGGGCAACAGAAUCUUUACAUUUGAUCAAUUCCAACAACACCACUCCUAUAAACGUCGAUUUUGGUAGUGACCAUCCCUGCUCCUAGAUAUUCUGGAGCCACAUAACCGCUCGACACACCUGAAAAGGCACAACUUGAAGUUCUUUUCCUUUGUGAUUCUUCAGCAAGAGCAAAAUUUGGACUGCAAAAAUUCUGACAAUGAUAUUGGAAAUUUAGAAGAAUUCAUUUCAUUUGUCUCUCCAUCACUUGGAGCUUCAGCUGCCGUUUUCCAUGAGCUUCUACUGAAAUGCCUCCAUGAUUGGUUUUGUUAUUUACAAGUCUUUUUUUUAAUAAUUUGAAUUCAAUUUUUUUUUUUACCAAAAAACAUUGGAACAUUAAUCAUGACCUAGAGGAAUUUAAGCAAAAAUUAAGAAUGACAAAAGAUUUCCAUAUGUCGAAGAUCUUAAAUUACCAGUGAAUUUUGGAAUAGUAGAGUUGCACCAUAUAAUUUGUUUGUUCUCCUUAUAAUCGGUUGCAUGGAGAGCACACAACGGAGGGUGAUGUGAAACCUUAGAACAAAACAUGUGUAUGCCUAUCUUAAUUAGGUCGUUCCAAAUAAUGUCUCCCAUUGUGACCAGCCAGGCACUCCUCGCGACUAUGUCACAAUAAUCCCUAGCAGCCAUGCUAAUAUUUGAAUAUACAACUUUGUAUGAUGUGUGGUAUUAUUAAUUUGUCCUUUUUCGGGUAAAUAAAAAAGAACCAACCUAAAAUUGUAGUGCAACUUUUAUUUUGAUUCCCUUUUGUAAAUGAAAUUGUUAUUUGUUUCUGACUAAUUUUGUAUGAUGUAUAAUAUGCUUGAUUCUUUUGUAUACAAUGUGAUUGUCAGAAAAUCCUCUAGCCACCAGUUCUCAGGUUUCAUUUGCUAAAAUAUGGAUUUAGACCUAACUACCGGGUAUUGGUUCAUCAUGGUGAAGAAGGAUCUAGUAUGGAGAACUUAGGUUAAAUAAUUUAAUUUGUUUCUUUUAAUUCUUCUACUUUAACAUGGGUGAAGCAGAUAUUACUUUAGUGUUGAUUAAGUCAAUAUUACCUUUAAUUCAUAUUA